Molecule: unclassified non-coding RNA, 329 nt
Filed under: soil metagenome
Description: partial contains 5.8S ribosomal RNA, internal transcribed spacer 2, and large subunit ribosomal RNA
Rfam family: 5.8S ribosomal RNA (bases 1-120)
Source: RNAcentral
GAUGAAGAACGUAGCGAAAUGCGAUAAGUAAUGUGAAUUGCAGAAUUCAGUGAAUCAUCGAAUCUUUGAACGCACAUUGCGCCCCUUCGUAUUCCGAGGGGCAUGCCUGUUCGAGCGUCAUUAUAACCCCUCAAGCUCAGCUUGGUGUUGGGGCCUGCUGCACUGGCAGCCCUUAAAAUCAGUGGCGGCGCCAUCUGGCUCUAAGCGUAGUAAUUCUUCUCGCUAUGGAGUCCUGGUGGAUGCUUGCCAUCAACCCCCAAUUUUUCUAUGGUUGACCUCGGAUCAGGUAGGGAUACCCGCUGAACUUAAGCAUAUCAAUAAGCGGAGGA